UGUGUGUGUGUAUAUAUGGAUCCCUUUGAACUAUAGUCAUAUUGUCUGGGUUUCAGUUAAAAGUAAUCAUUUUAGAGAGCUGGGGCAAGAAAAUGGCUUCAUUUCACUCAUAUUUCUUAACCUUAAUCUACUAUGAUGUGAACAUGGAAAAAUGCUCUCAAGGAAUUCUUAAUAUAGUUUGGCUAUGACAUUUGAUUUAUGUCAUUUUAGGAAAGGAUUUUGGGGUGCCCCAGAUUGUAGACUUGAUGCAACUACUACUUCUAAUUGAAAUAACUGAAAUUUUUCUGUACCUAAAAUAUUAUUAUGCUACUAAGAAUAUUAUGUGUUAACAUAUAUAUUAAAACAUAUCCACCAUAAAUUGGGGGACAUGAGAGAUACUUUCCUUGAUAUCUGUCUCCUCUUUCUAUUUGGGUUUGCUUUCAUGCUCCCCCCCACCACCUUUAUUUCUCCUUUUCUACAUAAAAAAAAUCUAUAGAGUAACAAAAAUGUAGUGAGAUUUCUGUUGGAAUACUGCAGAUUUCUGAAGCAAGUUGGAGUAAUACCUCUUUUUCUUGAUUGGUCUCCUGUUCCUAGUCACAUCAUUUCAAACUACAUUGAAAACUUCAGCCAUUCAGGAGAUGAUUCCAAUAAUCAAGUGUUGUUAUUUAGCUGAGCUCAAACCACACAUAUUCUCUGGACCAAUGGAAACUAUGAUAUAUGUAGAAGAUGACCAUGCUAUUUCUGUCUGGAAGGAGCUGCAAGCUGGGAGUCUCUGAGAGGGUGGCAAAGCUGUGGACAGUGGCCCAUGAGGGUCAUGUAGUUCAAAACAAUGGUUAUAGGGUUGUGCGAUCACAUCGAUCUAAGAUGGCGACUGUGGAACUGGAAACCACCCCUACUCCUAAUCCCCCACCUACAGUAGAAGAAGAGAAAACAGAAUCUAACCAGGAGGUUGCUAACCCAGAACACUAUAUUAAACAUCCUUUGCAGAACAGAUGGGCACUCUGGUUUUUUAAAAAUGAUAAAAGCAAAACCUGGCAAGCAAACCUUCGGCUGAUCUCUGAGUUUGAUACUGUUGAAGACUUUUGGGCUCUGUACAACCACAUCCAGCUGUUUAGUAAUUUAAUGCCUGGCUGUGACUACUCACUCUUUAAGGAUGGUAUUAAGCCUAUGUGGGAAGAUGAGAAAAACAAACGAGGAGGACGAUGGCUAAUUACAUUGAACAAACAGCAGAGACAAAGUGACCUCAAUUGCUUUUGGCUAGAGACACUGCUGUGCCUUAUUGGAGAAUCUUUUGAUGACUACAGUGAUGAUGUAUAUGGAGCUGUUGUUAAUGUUAGAGCUAAAGGUGAUAAGAUAGCAAUAUGGACUACUGAAUGUGAAAACAGAGAAUCUGUUACACAUAUAGGGAGGGUAUACAAGGAAAGGUUAGAACUUCCUCCAAAGAUAGUGAUUGGUUAUCAGUCCCAUGCAGACACAGCUACUAAGAGCGGCUCCACCACUAAAAAUAGGUUUGUUGUUUAAGAAGACACCUUCUGAGUAUUUUCAUAGGAGACUGCGUCAAGCAAUCGAGAUUUGGGAGCUGAACCAAAGCCUCUUCAAAAGCAGAGUGGACUGCACUUAAAUUUGAUUUCCAUCUAAAUGUUGCAAAGAUAUAAGAGAAGUCUCAUUCGCCUUUGUCUUGUACUUCCAUGUUCAUCCUUUUUUUUCUUUCCUUUUUCCCCUAGAGUGUCCACUUACCCAAUCAAAGAAUGACAGUACACAUCAUCCCCAGGAUCCAUAAAUGUGUUUCUGGCCCAUUCUGUAAUAGCUAGAAGAAUUACUAUUACAAACACAUUUUACCCAUCCACAAUAUU
Miniopterus natalensis is the source of this 1832-nucleotide non-coding RNA. The record is from RefSeq and is a predicted model, not a curated record. NCBI's taxonomy places the organism in Eukaryota, Metazoa, Chordata, Mammalia, Chiroptera, Miniopteridae.